Molecule: ribosomal RNA, 299 nt
Filed under: Paracoccus versutus
Lineage: Bacteria; Pseudomonadati; Pseudomonadota; Alphaproteobacteria; Rhodobacterales; Paracoccaceae
Description: 16S ribosomal RNA
Rfam family: Bacterial small subunit ribosomal RNA
Source: RNAcentral
AGCUCGUGUCGUGAGAUGUUCGGUUAAGUCCGGCAACGAGCGCAACCCACACUUCCAGUUGCCAUCAUUUGGUUGGGCACUCUGGAAGAACUGCCGAUGAUAAGUCGGAGGAAGGUGUGGAUGACGUCAAGUCCUCAUGGCUCUUACGGGUUGGGCUACACACGUGCUACAAUGGUGGUGACAGUGGGUUAAUCCCCAAAAGCCAUCUCAGUUCGGAUUGGGGUCUGCAACUCGACCCCAUGAAGUUGGAAUCGCUAGUAAUCGCGGAACAGCAUGCCGCGGUGAAUACGUUCCGGGCC